GAUGAACGCUAGCGGCAGGCUUAAUACAUGCAAGUCGAGGGGGCAGCAAUGUCACCGGCGAACGGGUGCGUAACACGUAUGCAACCUACCUAUAUCAGGGGGAUAGCCCGAGGAAACUCGGAUUAAUACCGCAUAACAUUAGGAUCGGCAUCGAUUUUAAUUGAAAGAUUUAUUGGAUAUAGAUGGGCAUGCGUAGGAUUAGCUAGUUGGUAAGGUAACGGCUUACCAAGGCUACGAUCCUUAGGGGCUCUGAGAGGAGUAUCCCCCACACUGGCACUGGACUACGGGCCAGACUCCUACGGGGGGCAGCAGUAGGGAAUAUUGGGCAAUGGGCGAAAGCCUGACCCAGCCAUGCCGCGUGCAGGAAGACGGCCCUCUGGGUUGUAAACUGCUUUUGAAUGGGAAGAAAGGUAUGCUUGCGAGCGUAAUUGACGGUACCAUUAGAAUAAGCCACGGCUAACUACGUGCCAGCCGCCGCAGUAA
RNAcentral lists this ribosomal RNA (483 nucleotides) under uncultured bacterium. RNAcentral describes it as "partial 16S ribosomal RNA". It matches the Rfam family "Bacterial small subunit ribosomal RNA", at positions 28 to 523 of the family's 1533-position model. The record is from RNAcentral.